Molecule: long non-coding RNA, 437 nt
Filed under: Medicago truncatula (barrel medic)
Lineage: Eukaryota; Viridiplantae; Streptophyta; Magnoliopsida; Fabales; Fabaceae
Description: long non-coding RNA (MTRU_LNC006683)
Source: RNAcentral
CAACUUGUGAGGUGAAGAUUGCCCACACUUAUAUAAACACAUAUAACGCACCCCCUCAACUUGUGAGGUGAAGAUUGCCUACACUUAUAUAAACACAUUUAACACACCCCCUCACGAGCAACACUAUUGGACUUGGUUCGUGGACAUAAAUAGUGGGUGGCCUAAUAGCGGAAAUUAGGUAGCAGGCGGCCCAACGGAUCUUUGAGGAGGUUCUGAUGCCAUCUUAGAAAUCGUGGUUAGGCCUACCACAACCUCACAAAACCGGCUUGUGGGGUGAGGAUUGCCCCCACUUAUAAACACAUGUCCAGGCCAUCUUUUGUCCAAUGUUUGACUCUUUAACAGUGCCCAAUGUCAUUGUAAAGAAUUUAUCUUGUUUUCCACAUUUUUCCAUCAUAUAUAUAUAUUAUAUCUUUUUCCCAUUAUAUUGUUUGAUUCAG